ACUAAUCAAAUUUGAGGUAGCAUGCCUUUGAUCUGCUUUCCUAGUGUUAACAGAGCAGUCAUGCUUUUUCUCAAUAUUUACUAUCUUGAACAAUGUUGAACCUUUUAUUCUGAAAGCACGCACACACCAGUAACACCUACCAUCAUUGCAUGUCAACGAAUAUCUUGUUGAGCUUGAUCUUACAACCUUGAAUUCAAAAUGUCCUUUGAUUGCUAUAUCGGAAAAACUUAUACUCUUCUUCUUGUCAAAUACUUAUCCGGCUUUUAUUUCAUCCAAUGAAGCAUUUUCUCUUAAUAUCGUAGUUGG
RNAcentral lists this long non-coding RNA (306 nucleotides) under Nicotiana benthamiana. Its description in RNAcentral is "long non-coding RNA (NBEN_LNC003316)". The record is from RNAcentral. Lineage: Eukaryota; Viridiplantae; Streptophyta; Magnoliopsida; Solanales; Solanaceae.